UAACACUGAUUUAUCUUCAGAUCCUAUAAAUCUUUUGCCUUUUACUAAAGAUUUCAGGUGAGAGAAACAAAACUGAGUCUUUGGUUAAUUUUUGAGGUCUCGUUAUAAUGAGAC
This is a small nuclear RNA of Suncus etruscus (white-toothed pygmy shrew), 114 nucleotides long. RefSeq annotates it as U5 spliceosomal RNA. Lineage: Eukaryota; Metazoa; Chordata; Mammalia; Eulipotyphla; Soricidae. The record is from RefSeq and is a predicted model, not a curated record. The transcript has a single exon.